UUGACAAAAUUCAUAGAAAUUAUCUUUAUUGAUGAGUUUGAUCCUGGCUCAGAAUGAACGCUAGUGGUUUGUUUUAAGACAUGCAAGUCGAACGAAUUAUAUAAAAUAGUUCGUGGCGAACGGGUGAGUAACACAUAAAAAUUUUCCCAACUGUCCAGGUAAAUCCUGGAUAAAUAAACAUAUUAAAGAUUAAUCGCAGUUGGAUAAGUUUAUGUAGGAUUAGAUAGUUGGUAAGAUAAAAGAUUACCAAGUCUAUGAUCCUUAGCUGGUCUGAGAGGAUGGUCAGCCACACUGGGACUGAGAUAAGGCCCAGACUCCUUCAGGAGGCAGCAGUCGAGAAUAUUAGGCAAUGAGCGAAAGCUUGACCUAGCAAAACCACGUGUGUGAAGACGGCCUUUAGGUUGUAAAGCACUUUUGUUGGAGAUAAUGAUGAUAGUAUCCAAAGAAAAAGUCCUGGCAAAUUCCGUGCCAGCAGCCGCGGUAAUACGGGAAGGGCAAGCGUUAUUCGGAAUUACUGGGUGUAAAGGGUGCGUAGAUGGUUAAAAAUAACUAAAAUAUAAAAAGUAAUGCCCAACAUUAUUAAGCGUUUUAGUAUUUUUUAUCUUGAGUUUAAAAGACGAUUAUAGAAUUUUAGGUGUAGCAGUAAAAUGCGUAAAUAUCUAAAGGAAUUCUCUCUGUGAAAACGUUAAUCGAGUUUAUAACUGACAUUGAGGCACGAAAGCGUGGGGAGCAAAAAGGAUUAGAGACCCUUGUAGUCCACGCCGUAAACGAUGAAUGUUAGGUCCUGGUUUUAGCAUUAAAAAUCAGGGUCGAAGUUAACGCGUUUAACAUUCCACCUGGGAAGUACUAUCGCAAGGUAGAAACUCAAAGGAAUUGACGGGAACUUGCACAAGCGGUGGAGCACGUAACUUAAUUCGAUGUCACACGAAAAAUCUUACCAAUUCUUGUCAUUUUGAUUAUAAUUAUCUUUUUUAGAUAGUUUAUUAAAUCAAAACAGGUGCUGCAUGGCUGUCGUCAGCCCGUGCUGUGAAGUGUUUGGUUCAUUCCAAUAAACGGGCGCAACUCUUAUAACUUAUUAUUUUAAAUUGAUAAGUUAAACUGUUAACGAUAUGUUAAAGGAAGGUGAGAAUGACGUCAAGUCCUCAUGGCCCUUAUGAAUUGGGCUGUAUACGUGCUACAAUGGCUUAUUACAAAAAAUUUCUAUUAUGUGAAUAAUAGAAAUUUUAUAAAAUAAGUCUCAGUUCGGAUUAUUCUUUGUAACAAGAAUAAGAAAGUUGGAAUCGCUAGUAAUCGCAAAUAAGAAUGUUGCGGUGAAUAAGUACCCAAGUUUUGUACACACUGCCCGUCACACUAUGGAAAUUAAUCUUGUCGGAAGAUAAAAUAAAUACUAAAGUUAACUUUAAAAUAAUUUGAUUAAAAUAAUAAUUUUUUAAAGUUAAUUUUAGUAUUUAUUUUAUUGAUGACAGGAUUAAGGACUGGAGUGAAGUCGUAACAAGGUAGCCGUAGGGGAACCUGUGGCUGGAUUAUUUGAAGUUUUUAUUGUU
Molecule: ribosomal RNA, 1544 nt
Filed under: Cyanidioschyzon merolae
Lineage: Eukaryota; Rhodophyta; Bangiophyceae; Cyanidiales; Cyanidiaceae
Description: bacterial SSU rRNA
Rfam family: Bacterial small subunit ribosomal RNA
Source: RNAcentral